CCCCCCCCCCCCCCCCCCCCCCCCCCCCCCCCCCCCCCCCCCCCCCCCCCCCCCCCCCCCCCCCCCCCCCCCCCCCCCCCCCCCCCCCCCCCCCCCCCCCCCCCCCCCCCCCCCCCCCCGCGCCCGGAACCGCCGCGUGAGGGCGGCGCGAGCGCGGGGCUCCCGCUGCGCCUCACCGACACCGGCACCGGCAUUGACACCGGCACCGACACCGACACCGGCACCGACACUGACACCGACACCGACAUCGACACCGACACCGGCACCGGCAUUGACACCGAUACCGACACCGGCACCGACACUGACACCGACACCGAUACCGAUACAGGCACCGACACCGGCACUGACACCGGCACUGACAUUGACACCGGCAUUGACACCGGCACCGGCAUUGACACUGGCACUGACACCGGCACCGACACCUACAUUGACACCGACACCGGCACCGAUACCGACACCGGCACCGACACCGGCAUUGACACCGACACUGGCACCGACACCGACACAGGCACUGGCACCGGCACCCCCCCCCCCCCCCCCCCCCCCCCCCCCCCCCCCCCCCCCCCCCCCCCCCCCCCCCCCCCCCCCCCCCCCCCCCCCCCCCCCCCCCCCCCCCCCCCCCCCCCCCCCCCCCCCCCCCCCCCCCCCCCCCCCCCCCCCCCCCCCCCCCCCCCCCCCCCCCCCCCCCCCCCCCCCCCCCCCCCCCCCCCCCCCCCCCCCCCCCCCCCCCCCCCCCCCCCCCCCCCCCCCCCGGCACCGGCACCGGCACCGGCCCAGCGAGCCUGGCCGCGCGGAGGCCUCCCCUCGGUCCCCGCCGGGAUGAACAGACCGAGUGACCUCUCACGGCCUCCCCCCGGGGCCCUUCGCCAGCCUCACCGCCCUCCUGCGCACGCUGCAGUGGCUCCUUGCCUGCCUUGCCUUGUGGCACCCAAAGCGCCCCCGGCGCGGGAGGUGAGGCUGCCCCAGCUCAGAGCAGAGCAGGACAAUCCCCUCCCUUGCCCGGCUGUGAUGCUGCGCCUGGUGCACCCCAGGACAGGGAUGGCCCUCCUGGCUGCCGGGGCACUGCUCAGAUCCAGCUCACAGAACAGGGAGCAGGGUUUCAUCCUUCAGAGCAGGACUGGCGGGGAUCUCUGA
RNAcentral lists this long non-coding RNA (1134 nucleotides) under Ficedula albicollis (Collared flycatcher). RNAcentral's name for it is "lncRNA (ENSFALG00000023452.1)". Lineage: Eukaryota; Metazoa; Chordata; Aves; Passeriformes; Muscicapidae. The record is from RNAcentral.